UAUAACUGAGCCUUGUUGCCUCUGUGCCUU
This 30-nucleotide non-coding RNA is filed under the name Mus musculus (house mouse). The record is from RNAcentral. Lineage: Eukaryota; Metazoa; Chordata; Mammalia; Rodentia; Muridae.